RNAcentral lists this ribosomal RNA (441 nucleotides) under uncultured bacterium. Its description in RNAcentral is "partial 16S ribosomal RNA". It matches the Rfam family "Bacterial small subunit ribosomal RNA", at positions 338 to 795 of the family's 1533-position model. The record is from RNAcentral.
CCUACGGGAGGCAGCAGUGGGGCAUAUUGCACACUGGGGGGAACCCUGAUGCAGCGACGCCGCGUGGGUGAAGGAGUAUUUCGGUAUGUAAAGCCCUAUCAGCAGGGAAGAACAAUGACGGUACCUGACUAAGAAGCACCGGCUAAAUACGUGCCAGCAGCAGCGGUAAUACGUAUGGUGCAAGCGUUAUCCGGAUUUACUGGGUGUAAAGGGAGCGCAGGCGGCGCGUUAAGCCUGGUGUGAAAGCCCGCGGCCCAACCGCGGGACUGCAUUGGAAACUGUACGGCUGGAGUGCAGGAGAGGUAAGUGGAAUUCCUAGUGUAGCGGUGAAAUGCGUAGAUAUUAGGAGGAACACCAGUGGCGAAGGCGGCUUACUGGACUGUAACUGACGUUGAGGCUCGAAAGCGUGGGGAGCAAACAGGAUUAGAUACCCCUGUAGUC